AUACGUAGGGGGCGAGCGUUGUCCGGAAUUAUUGGGCGUAAAGCGCGCGCAGGCGGUCCACUAAGUCUGAUGUGAAAGCCCCCGGCUUAACCGGGGAGGGUCAUUGGAAACUGGUGGACUUGAGUGCAGGAGAGGAGAGUGGAAUUCCACGUGUAGCGGUGAAAUGCGUAGAGAUGUGGAGGAACACCAGUGGCGAAGGCGGCUCUCUGGCCUGUAACUGACGCUGAGGCGCGAAAGCGUGGGGAGCAAACAGGAUUAGAUACCCUGGUAGUCCACGCCGUAAACGAUGAGUGCUAGGUGUUGGGGGGAGCAAUCUCCUCAGUGCUGAAGUUAACACAUUAAGCACUCCGCCUGGGGAGUACGGCCGCAAGGCUGAA
This 377-nucleotide ribosomal RNA is filed under the name uncultured bacterium. RNAcentral describes it as "bacterial SSU rRNA". It matches the Rfam family "Bacterial small subunit ribosomal RNA", at positions 523 to 898 of the family's 1533-position model. The record is from RNAcentral.